GUCCACGCCAUAAACGAUGAGAACUAGACGUUGAGAGGGUAAGCCUCCCAGUGUCGAAGCUAACGCGAUAAGUUCUCCGCCUGGGGAGUACGGCCGCAAGGUUGAAACUCAAAGGAAUUGACGGGGACCCCGGCACAAGCGGUGGAGCAUGUGGUUUAAUUCGAUGCAACGCGAAGAACCUUACCUGGCCUUGACAUCCUCGGAACCCUGCAGAGAUGCGGGGGUGGCCUUCGGAACCGGAGAGACAGGUGCUGCAUGGCUGUCGU
This 266-nucleotide ribosomal RNA is filed under the name uncultured bacterium. RNAcentral's name for it is "partial 16S ribosomal RNA". It matches the Rfam family "Bacterial small subunit ribosomal RNA", at positions 793 to 1055 of the family's 1533-position model. The record is from RNAcentral.